Molecule: long non-coding RNA, 405 nt
Organism: Humulus lupulus (European hop)
Lineage: Eukaryota; Viridiplantae; Streptophyta; Magnoliopsida; Rosales; Cannabaceae
Exons: 3
Source: RefSeq, a predicted model, not a curated record
CAGGUCUCCUCUGGCUACCAUAACACCAUCAGAUGCCAUAACAAUGUCUUGCAGAUUAUCCAAAGAAUCAAUGCUCUCUAUCUUUGCAAUGACAGCAACUUCACUGCAGUGAGUAGCACAUAAUUGUAAACUAUAAAUAGAUGCAUCUGGGCUGUGCUUUGGUUGCAUAUGGAGAUCUUCGUGGUUUCAAUUGCCACAUGAGAUUUCUGGGUUAGAUGUUCUUGGUUUUCCAGAUUCUUCAAAGAGAAGAAGAGAGUGAUCUUUUCUCAGUGUUUUCUGAAGGGAUUUCAGAGUUGUGCUGAAGGGAUUUCAGCCCUUCUUCUAAGGGAGUUAGAAAUGCAGAAAGUUAAGUGGGAGAUUCAACUCAGGAUAAAUUGUAAAUCUUGCUAUGAGUUUUAGAUUGUU